UGCGUAGGCGGCCUAUUAAGUCAGUGGUGAAAGGUAUCAGCUUAACUGAUGACGUGCCAUUGAAACUGACAGGCUUGAGUACAGACGAGGUAGGCGGAAUUUAUGGUGUAGCGGUGAAAUGCAUAGAUACCAUAAAGAACACCGAUAGCGAAGGCAGCUUACUAGGCUGAGACUGACGCUGAGGCACGAAAGCGUGGGGAGCGAACAGGAUUAGAUACCCUGGUAGUCC
RNAcentral lists this ribosomal RNA (229 nucleotides) under uncultured bacterium. RNAcentral describes it as "partial 16S ribosomal RNA". It matches the Rfam family "Bacterial small subunit ribosomal RNA", at positions 568 to 796 of the family's 1533-position model. The record is from RNAcentral.